AACGAACGCUGGCGGCAGGCUUAACACAUGCAAGUCGAGCGAGACCUUCGGGUCUAGCGGCGGACGGGUGAGUAACGCGUGGGAACGUGCCCUUCUCUACGGAAUAGCCCCGGGAAACUGGGAGUAAUACCGUAUACGCCCUUUGGGGGAAAGAUUUAUCGGAGAAGGAUCGGCCCGCGUUGGAUUAGGUAGUUGGUGGGGUAAUGGCCCACCAAGCCGACGAUCCAUAGCUGGUUUGAGAGGAUGAUCAGCCACACUGGGACUGAGACACGGCCCAGACUCCUACGGGAGGCAGCAGUGGGGAAUCUUAGACAAUGGGGGCAACCCUGAUCUAGCCAUGCCGCGUGAGUGAUGAAGGCCUUAGGGUUGUAAAGCUCUUUCAGCGGGAAGAUAAUGACGGUACCAGCAGAAGAAGCCCCGGCUAACUCCGUG
RNAcentral lists this ribosomal RNA (432 nucleotides) under uncultured bacterium. RNAcentral describes it as "partial 16S ribosomal RNA". It matches the Rfam family "Bacterial small subunit ribosomal RNA", at positions 29 to 507 of the family's 1533-position model. The record is from RNAcentral.